UUCUAAGUGAGGCUUCCUAACAUCUUACUAGCCUAGGAUUAAUAUCAGCCCAUUUUUUGGAGGAGAACCAACAAGACUGGCUAUUUGACUGGAUCCUCCAAUUGGUUUACUCCAAGAUUCCUCUUCGUUGGCUUAAGAAGAUACAAGACAGGAGUCUCCAAUCCUUAGACCAUGGACCAAUAUCAACCAUGGCCAGUUAGCAACCCGGUAGCAAAGCAGGAGGAAUAUGUUUAAUACUGUUCAAAAGAAGAGAAGGAAAGAAAAGCAAAAAGAACAGAGGAAAAGAAACCCAGAGGCAAGGAAUAAAAAAGUCCUAUACAAAAAGACUCCACCACGAAGAAGAUUGAGAGGCACAAGGAAAAUGAACCCUGAGAAGUAAAUACCGUUGCUGUCAUCCCCAUUUUACAAAUGGGGAAACAAAAAUAGAGAAAUGAAGCAAUUUGUCCAAGAUCACUCUGCUAGCAAGCAACAGAACCAGGAGUUUAACCCAGGUGGGAUCUCAUUUGACUACUGGCAAAUGUCACAUGUGUGCUUGUACAUAUGUACAUUCACACAUGCAACACACACACAUGUAACAAGCAGAGUUAACUCACCACAGCCGCCAAUUCUUGCUUGAAAAGCAUAAAAGGCUUCAGUAAAUGCAAUGACUUAAUUACUUCUCACAUCUGGAAAAACUUGAAUAUGAGAGUGGAUUUAUUGAAGAAGCUCUUUGCUUGGCUGUCAACACCGUAUCAAGAGCCAGAAAGAGAGCAGGCUUGAUCACUCUUGGCAAUUCUUUAACCCAUUCAGAGAUAGACGAUCUACCAAUUAAUUCAUAACAUGUCCUGUUUAUGUGAUUUAUGAAUUUUAUGAAAACACAGCAAUGUAAAUAGUUUCCUAGUAAUUUAUGGAGAAAAGCUGUUUUUGUCAUGUUUCUAGGAAGAAAAAUAUCACACAUUAAAAUGGGGAAAUAAUGAAGAAGUUUUUACAUUCAAGGAAACAAAGGAAAGGGUUUUGGGGGUUGUAGAGCAUAUUG
This is a long non-coding RNA of Gorilla gorilla gorilla (western lowland gorilla), 1015 nucleotides long. RefSeq lists it as uncharacterized. The transcript is spliced from 5 exons. The record is from RefSeq and is a predicted model, not a curated record. Lineage: Eukaryota; Metazoa; Chordata; Mammalia; Primates; Hominidae.